RNAcentral lists this long non-coding RNA (14693 nucleotides) under Lynx pardinus (Iberian lynx). The record is from RNAcentral. Lineage: Eukaryota; Metazoa; Chordata; Mammalia; Carnivora; Felidae.
AAUAAUAUCUUUGAUAACAGCAAUCACUAUUAAUGAUAAACUAGUCAUUGUGUUCUGCAUGGCCAAGUGUUUCUUAGAUAAGAUUAUUUAUUAAUUUAUAAGUAUUUAUUUUUGAGAGAGAGGGUGCACAAGCACAGGAGGGGCAGAGAAAGGGAGAGAAAGAAUCCCGAGCAGGCUCCGUGCUGUCAGCGUAGAGCCCGAUGUGGGGCUCAAACUCAAUGCACCAUGAGAACAUGACCUGAGCCUACAUCAAGAGGUGCUGAGUCACCCAGGUGCCCCAAGAAUUAUAAUCUAUAGCAUCUUGUGUGUCAGUGGACUUUAAUGUUACUUACAUGUAGUUCUUUGACUACCUGUGGCAGCACUUUGGAAAUUGUUAUAAAAGCAUAUUUGAAACCCCACCGAACCCCUUCUGAAUUUCUAAGGAUGGGGACCUGAAUUUAUAUGAACAAGCUGUCCAGGUGAUUCUUAAGCAAGUCAGUUUGAGAUGCACUGCAGUGGUUUAAUGAAGUCAAGUAGCAUUAAUUGGUAAGACACACCAGGAAAAAGAUGUAUGUCUCCAUGGGAUGCGUCCACACCUUUACUCUUUAUCUUAGUUUCAAAUAAAAAUUGGGAUUAAAGUGUAAAACAUAAAAUGUUUCUGAUAUCCAUUUUGUGAGUGAAUGAAACUAUGAGUCACUUCCUUUUUACUACACUCCUAAGUAGAUCUGUGACUCUGAUAAGCAGAAAACAAAGGAUCUUGUGUUUUUGAUAUAAAGCUUCUCCUUCCCUCACUUUUUUCUCUCCCUCCCUCCCUCCCUGCCUCCCUUCCUUCCCUUCCUUCCUGUCCUUCUUUCUUUUCUUUUCUUUCUUUUUAUAAAAGGUUCCAACUUAAAUCCCGUGGAAUAAACAUAUAGUAUAAAUUUAGGACAUAUCAUCUACACAAAGUAAAUGAAUGGGAUCUAAGCAAUUAUCAUUUGCCAUUUCUGUAGAGGAAAUUAUGCCACUUUUUUUUCAUUUGCCACAUCUGACCUAACCAAACAAGUCUAUCAAAGUUUAUAAUUUUACUCUAUAAGAGUGUAUUGGAUAACUGUAAAAAAUUAGGUUUGAUUCUAAGUUCUUCAAACACAGAAUUAAUUUAUAAAUAAUGAUAAUAUAUGAACAGGUAUUGUUCCUAUUAUUUGAGAUCAAAUUGAAUCACCAGCACAAACUUAUGGAGCACCUGAUAGGUCACAGUAUAGUUUUAGAUAUUAUGAAGAAAAUACCUUGAGCUUAGUUCUUGUCUUGUAGUAUAAUCCCUUCAUGUAAUUUGAUAUACGUGGCUCUCAAAGAUAUUUGUUCAUUUCCACCUUAGGUCAAAAGAUCAUGGGAGCUUUCCAGUGAAAAAUAGGCUUGUGGGUAGCCAAGAAUUGGAGAAGAAAAAGAUAAAGUGCCAUACAUUUGUUGCUAGCAUCAUAUAGGAAUCUUCUCUCAUAUCUCAAUGAGAGCAGAAUCUGUGCUUCUAUAUGUUUUGAAUAUAAAUUAAACCUAUAAAGGUAAAUAUGCCCCAGUAUUUUUUAUAAUGCUUACCUUGAAAAUAUUUUGGGAGAUAUUAAAAUAGCAUAAAACACAGGACAUACAAUGUCCAUCCAGUAAAAUUUGGGACAUUGCAUGUAAACUUGUUUAAGAAACUGGGUUUAAUAAUUUCUACUUUGAACUGCAAUGUAUUGUAUGUUUUAAAGUUUAGUUAUUGGGGAAUAAUGUGUUAAAAGUCCUGUUAUUGGUAGCAGGUAACACUAUUCAUGGUAGGAUUAAUAUAACAACUAAAUAUAACAACAUUAAUAAACUAAAUUGAUAAUGAUGUACUUAUAACUUAAUAUAAAACUUAAUAUAUUAAUGGAGAAGGAAGAACAGCAGAAAACAAAACAUUAACUAACCCGAGACAACACUAAUAGUAUAAUGACAGCAAAGCAAAAUUCAGAAUUGCUGGAAUUCCAACUUUCCUUGUUCAAAACGAUGCCACGUGUCAUGAGGCAGCUAAAGUUCUUAAAAGAAUACUGAAUUGAAGUCUUCAAUAAGCUCUAGCAGUACAUCAAUUUUAGUUUAAGAAUACCAAAUCUUAUCUGUAUGCUGAAAACUAUAGAAAGCUUAUGAAGGAGAUUGAAGAAGAUAAAAGAAAUGGAAAAACAUUCCAUGCUCAUGGAUUGGAAGAAUAAAUAUUGUCAAAAUGUCAAUACUGCCCAAAGCUAUCUACACAUUCAAUGCAAUCCCAAUCAAAAUUGCACCAGCAUUCUUCUCGAAACUAGAAUAAGCAAUCCUAAAAUUCAUAUGGAACCACAAAAGGCCCCGAAUAGCCAAAGUAAUUUUGAAGAAGAAGACCAAAGCAGGAGGCAUCACAAUCCCAGACUUUAGCCUCUACUACAAAGCUGUAAUCAUCAAGACAGCAUGGUAUUGGCACAAAAACAGACACAUAGACCAAUGGAAUAGAAUAGAAUCCCCAGAACUAGACCCACAAACGUAUGGCCAACUCAUCUUUGACAAAGCAGGAAAGAAUAUCCAAUGGAAAAAAGACAGUCUCUUUAACAAAUGGUGCUGGGAGAACUGGACAGCAACAUGCAGAAGGUUGAAACUAGACCACUUUCUCACACCAUUCACAAAAAUAAACUCAAAAUGGAUAAAGGACCUGAAUGUGAGACAGGAAACCAUCAAAACCCUAGAGGAGAAAGCAGGAAAAGACCUCUCUGACCUCAGCCGUAGCAAUCUCUUACUCGACACAUCCCCAAAGGCAAGGGAAUUAAAAGCAAAAAUGAACUANUACUGGGACCUUAUGAAGAUAAAAAGCUUCUGCACAGCAAAGGAAACAACCAACAAAACUAAAAGGCAACCAACGGAAUGGGAAAAGAUAUUUGCAAAUGACAUAUCGGACAAAGGGCUAGUAUCCAAAAUCUAUAAAGAGCUCACCAAACUCCACACCCGAAAAACAAAUAACCCAGUGAAGAAAUGGGCAGAAAACAUGAAUAGACACUUCUCUAAAGAAGACAUCCGGAUGGCCAACAGGCACAUGAAAAGAUGCUCAACGUCGCUCCUCAUCAGGGAAAUACAAAUCAAAACCACACUCAGAUAUCACCUCACGCCAGUCAGAGUGGCCAAAAUGAACAAAUCAGGAGACUAUAGAUGCUGGAGAGGAUGUGGAGAAACGGGAACCCUCUUGCACUGUUGGUGGGAAUGCAAAUUGGUGCAGCCACUCUGGAAAACAGUGUGGAGGUUCCUCAAAAAAUUAAAAAUAGACCUACCCUAUGACCCAGCAAUAGCACUGCUAGGAAUUUACCCAAGGGAUACAGGAGUACUGAUGCAUAGGGGCACUUGUACCCCAAUGUUUAUAGCAGCACUCUCAACAAUAGCCAAAUUAUGGAAAGAGCCUAAAUGUCCAUCAACUGAUGAAUGGAUAAAGAAAUUGUGGUUUAUAUACACAGUGGAGUACUACGUGGCAAUGAGAAAGAAUGAAAUAUGGCCCUUUGUAGCAACAUGGAUUGAACUGGAGAGUGUGAUGCUAAGUGAAAUAAGCCAUACAGAGAAAGACAGAUACCAUAUGUUUUCACUCUUAUGUGGAUCCUGAGAAACUUAACAGAAACCCAUGGGGGAGGGGAAGGAAAAAAAAAAGAGGUUAGAGUGGAAGAGAGCCAAAGCAUAAGAGACUCUUAAAAACUGAGAACAAACUGAAGGUUGAUGGGGGGUGGGAAGGAGGGGAGGGUGGGUGAUGGGUAUUGAGGAGGGCACUUUUUGGGAUGAGCACUGGGUGUAUAUGGAAACAAAUUUGACAAUAAACUUCAUAUAUUGAAGAAAAAAAAGAAAAAAAGAAUACCAAAUCUUAGCUACAUUUAAGAGCACAUUUAUUAGGUUAAUGGUAAGAAUUCCCCAGUUCUAUUGCAUAAAAGUGAAAAAAUCAAUGGAAUUAUACAUAAUUUAACUGUAAUGACUGAGGGAAGGACUUAUAUGUUUUGCAUUACUUCAAAGCCCAAUAAGAGAACUGUGCAUUUUAGAAUAAAUCUAUUGAGGGAAAUGAAAUAUAAACACUAAACCUAACCUCACCAGAAUCAUAUAAAAAUGAUGACAAUGGAAAGGAUGCCCCUAUGUAGUAUGUGCAUAAGACCAAAUGAUAAUAGAUAUAAUGCAUAUUAAUAAGAAUUCAGACCACAGAAAUCAUUUCAACCUGGGAUGUGGCUGUUUAAAAUAGGCCUUGAAUUGUAUGAAACCUCUGAAAAGUAAAAGAGGAAGAAAGAAUCUUGAUGGGUAAAUAUUAUGAAUCAGGUAAGUAUUAUGAAUCAAUCAAUGUCUAAAGGUCAAGGAAUAUCCAAUUACUACAUUUGAAAAAUCUGCUCAUCUCCAAAAUUGAAAAAUAUGAAGAUAUAUGAAUUAUAAAUACCAUAUUUACUGGGGUUAAUCACAAAUCACAAAGUUACAUAAUAUUUUUUUUAAAAAACAAGCAAAACAUUUUCAGUGAUUCUGGCUCUUACUACCAUUGAAAAAUUCUAUGUUCAUGCGAUACAUGGAAAAUCUUACUCAAGAUGGUCCAAUUUGGGUAUUCCAUUAUGUUUUAAUAGUGGAGUGCAUUACUGAGUUGACAAAGGCAAUAAACACUUAUAUAGUGAAAAAUAAGCCAAUAUUGUCAGAUUAUUUAGUGACGAGGGAAUGAUACUGGGGGAAGCUUAGAGAGGGGAUAGGUAAAUGUUUAUUUUAUUCAGUCCUCCAGAUGAAACUGACUUUCAUUAAUCUUUAUAUUACAUUGAUUACAAAAGCACACUGAAGGUUCAUCACUAUUAACCAAGAAACCAAGAAACAUAACUAAGUUGAAAACAGUAAAGAUUUCUAAGUCAGUUCACUAUAAAAUAUCAGCUGUGUUCAGUUGAACUUUUGUUUUCUUGUAACAGAUAUCAUUUCUGUUUGUUUACCCUUUGUGAUAACUCCUUCUCUCCUUCCUUUGCUUCCUUACUUCAUAUGCAUUUAUGCAUGUAUAUAAAUGUUAGAGUUCUAUCACACUCUUCCAAAAACCUCAGAGGUAACCUCUGUCUUUUAAGUGGAUUCCUAUCAAAUGCCCUGGAGAUUAUGUGAAAAAUGCAGAUCCCAUUUCUCCAGGUCUCCAGUAGGGUCUGAGACUUUUUUAUUUCUAACCAAUUAAUGUGGUUGGUGAUGCUGUGUAGACUACGCUUUGAGUAGCAAAGCUCUGGGCCGAUUGGGAUUUGGCAUAUGUGACUAGCACAGCUGUCCCUUCCAUGCUUGCCCAGCUCUGUCGCUUUUGUGUUUGAACAGGAGGAGAUUUUUCUUACUUUCUUGCCAGCUCAUCUAUGGACUUAAAAGAUGUUUCAAUUUUUUCUUUUAAUUGAGCAGGCUUAAGUGUUUUUUUACUAAAAAAAAAAAUUAAAGAAUAAAGUUCUAAAACAUGCUUAUUAUUUUUUUAAAGAUUUUGCAUAGAAGUAUAUGUAUAUAGACUUGGAGUUUGUGCGUUUGUUUUGGUUUAGACCUGUGGAUAGCCUUACUAUAAAAAAGCUAUAGCAAGUGUUUAUAUAUGGCCUCACGUGAGUUGUCAGUGGAAAUUUUAAAAUGUGAUUUCUAGUCUUUUGAUUGUCUACAAAGUAAAACUUGGAAAACAGCAGGCAGUUUAAAAUACCUGUUAAGAGCUGUACAAUUUGGAAUCAGAAAUACAUGAAUUCCAGAUAAGUGCUGCUAUGUUAAAGCUAUGUGACUUUACGAAAAGUACUUUUCUAAGCCUUGGUUUAGUUUAUCUUAGUUUAUCUGUAAAAUAGGUUUAAAGGAAUACAUACCUUUGUGGGCUGUUAUAAGAAUUUAGUGAUACAGGAAAGCUCUAGUAUUACAAAUGUUUAAACACUUAUCUUUUUAAGACAAGUUUAUAAGGGAGACUGUGAUUAUUUUAAAGAAUGAUUAAGAUAAUUCCUCCUUAAAAGACAAAUAAAAAUCCCCUUCAAAAUUAUAAUUAGAAUAAUUUCAGAAUUACCCAUUAUAUUAAUAUCCUCAUUCCAUAUAGUAGCCAUUAGUCACAUGUGGACAUUUAAAUUUAAUUUUAGGGACACCUAGGUGGCUCAGUCUGUUAAGCAUCCUACUUCAGCUCAGGUCAUGACCUCCCGGUUCAUGGGCUCCAGCCCAGUGUUAGGCUCUGUGCUGAUAGCUUGGAGCUUGGAGCCUGCUUCAGAUUCUGUGUCUUCCUCUGUCUCUGCCCCUCCCCAGCUCACACUCUGUCUCUCUGUCAAAAAUAAAGAAAAACAUUUAAAAGGCGGGGGCGAGAGGCUGGGUACUUAGUUGGUUAAGCCUCUAACUUUGGCUCAGGUCAUGAUCUCGUGGUUCGUAGGUUCAAGCCUCGCAGUGGGCUUUGUGCUCACAGCAUGGAGCCUGGAGCCUGCUUCAGAUUCUGUCUCUCUCUCUCUUUCUCUGCCCCUCUACUGCUCAUGCUCUCCCUCUCUCAAAAAUAAAUAAAACAUUAAAAAAUAAAUAAACUUAAUUAAAAAAAAUUAAGUUAAAAUUUGAGUUUCUCAUGUCCAUCAGCCACAUUUCAAGCACUCAAUAGAAACAUAUGGGUCAGUGAAUAAUGCAUAGAACGUUUCCAUCACUGAAGAAAGUUCUAUAGAUCUUACAUAAAAGAUAUUAAGUUGAUAAAUAUAGGACACAAAAGACUACUAUAUUUAAAUAUAAUGUAUUGCUAAUUUAUUCCAGUUUUCUUCGUGAGAUGACUGAUUUGUUUUUUGUUGUUGUUGUUAUUUGUUUGUUGUUUAAAUGGACUCAGUGAUUAGGUUUAUAAAAAGAAAGCUUAACAAGUACGAGUCAAAAAACCAAAUAAAUGAAAACCUGUCAUUCCUUCAGAAAUGAAACUAAGCCGUGGUUUCUAUGUUGUCAUUUAAUUCUGCUUAGGUCAUACUUUUUUCUGAGUGAGAAAUGGGGGCUUCAAGAGAGCCACAGAUGUGUAUCACUUGUGUAUCACCAUGAACUAACCAACAUAUUUAUAACACUGUGCAAUCAGGCAAGGUAUUCAUCUGGAUAGUCAGCAUAUGACCAAAAAAAAAAAAGGUAACCUAAAACCAAAUUUUGGGAACAUUUCCAAAACAUGCAAUGCAAUAUGAGGCGGCACUGAGUAAAGAAGGGAUUUUUGGUUGUGUUUCUAGCAAAAACGGAAAUAAAUCAAAUUGAGGGCAUCAUUACCAAUUUGACCUACCAUACAGUAAGUAUUGGAUUGGUCAUUAUGCGGUAUGGAAUUCCUUAAGGAAAAGAAAAUAGAUUUGGAAAACAUACAGUUUUGGAAAUACUAUGAAGGUGACUAUUUCAGAGAUUUAGUACGUUGAGGAGAAAGGCUAAGGAAAUGAAUCUGAUUCUCACAGGAAAACAGUACACUUCAUGAUGAUUUAAUUAAGCAUUCAAAAUGGGAAAGGGGUUGGAUUAAUAAAAUUGAUCUUUAGAUCAUAUUCACACUGGGACAAAACAUAGCUGUUAAAAAGAGGAAAAGACACAUUAUAGUAUAUUAAAGGAAAUACUGCAGAGUAACUAGAUUUGGACGCAGUAAGUUUAUAAGAUAACAGCAUUGGAACAGGUCCAACUGCCCAAUGUAAUCAUCACAACUAUGUGAUCGGCAACAAUAUCAAUAAUGUAUUCAAAUAAUAUUGAGUCUCCUACUGCAAACAGAUGCAUUCCUCAACUUAAUCUAAUUCACAUCUCCCCCAAAGAUUGCUUUAUCAAAUGAUGUAACUUGCAAUAACAUAAGAACUGGAAUGUAUUAUUUCAGUGAUAUCUAGGUAUAUUCAAAUAUUCAUUAAUUUGGAAAGAAUGAAACUGGCAACAACAGGAUAUCCUGUGUGUGUUGAUUUAUUUUUAAUUUCAAAGAGUUAAUUAGUGGUAGAAAAAUUACAGGUUGCAAAUGAGUCAACUGAAAACUGAACACCAUGUUCCUAAAACACAGUAGGUGCACAGUAAAUAUGGGGACUCGAUCAAUCAUCACAGCUGCUGUAUUAAUACUUUCACUCCAUAUAUCAUGGGAAGCGUUGCAGAGACUAAAGAGAGCACAGAUGUGUUUCUUCCAUAAAGUCUUUAUUUCAAGAAAGUUAGCUAACAAGCUACGGAACUAGCAGGGUUCUUCGCAAUUUGUAAAGCAUACAUACAGCUUAAAGGAAAAUGAGUUUACAUUUUGAAAUUCUACUUCAUGAGAAAAACUGAGUUUGCAACCAUUGUUAUUCUCAGAACUAUUCCAUUUUUAAAACACCUUUAUGUCGGGACCAGUGUUAGGUCUUACUCAUCUUUAUGGUUAGCUAUUCCUUCCUUCGUCCCAUGUUAUCACGGCAUGUUUGUUACACACAGUAGGUGCUUAUGACACACGCAUAUUUAAAUGAAAAGAGGGCAUUACACAAUGCUUCUGAAAAGUCAUUGUAUAGCCAGCCUGUCCUUUUGAUAUGCUAAUCCAUUUUAAGUAUGGAAAUGUGCUAAUAAAUAAUCUUUAUGUGUCUCUAACGGGGAAACUAUCUGAGACUUAAACAUAAUUAUGCACAAACUUCCUUUGACAAGCAAAAUUAUUUUCCAAUGAUUAAAUCAAGUCAGAAGACGCAUGGAAAAAGAAAAUACCUCAACGCAAGUCACUUGUCAAGGCUCCUGACAUACUUGCUUUAUUUUAUUUUAUGUCUUUACAUCUAUUUUUAUGGAUUAACUGAAAUAACAGUUGUGAAAGAUUCUCUGGCACUAUUAAUCAGUGAAUGCCCAAAGUGAGUAUUCUCAUUUUAGCAGGGGCCAAAAGUAUUGGACAAAUUGUCUGAUCUCUCCCCUUGACUGAACAUGCAGAUACUUAGCUUAAUUCACUACUAAUUCAUGAGAAAUUUUUAACAAAGACAAUCUGUUUUAUGACUUACAACAAAUAUUUAUUGCUACUCUCAUUAACCUAGUAAAAUCAAGAAAAUGUAAUGGUUUUCAUUUUCUGUGUCACUGUGUUCAUUAGUUGGCAUAUUAUCCUGUAUAAAUGCAAGGAUAAGGUGCUUUGAAAUUCUACUUUACAUUAAGAGAAUAAUAUCAAUACUGCUGUUGAAAUAUUUUAGUCGUUGGAGAGGAAAUUAUUGUUUAAUGUUUUGAUUUUUUAAACAAAUAAAAUAUCCUAUUAAUAUUCUGUCACAUCUUAGAAAGGAAUAUUUAAUGAGAUUUACUAUCAUUUUUUCCCCAGUAGUAUGGUCUCGAUGAUUUAUAAUAUAAUAUUAAGGAGAUGUUUCAGUUUUCUUGAGGUCUUAUACCAUCAAAUUUUAAAGACCUUUCAAUUAUUCCAUUAACUUUCUAUUUUUCACAUGCUAUCAAACUUUUUCUCUACCAGGACAACAACACCAAGAAGAUUCAAAGCAUUUGAAAAAUUACUGUGGAGGUUUGUGGGGGAAAAGUAUUAUUAUAAGAAAAGUUGUAAGGUGAGUAUUGUUUCCUGUGGCUGGAAGAAAGCAUGCUGUGUGAGGGUGUUUGUGUAUAAAUGAUGUGAAAUCUGAUCUGGAAGGAGAAGGCCGGUUGCGCCACAAGAAAUAUUUUAAUGGAACGUUGGAGGCUUUCACAAUAGUGCACUACUGUGGCUUUGCAGUCUAUUUUGAUCAUGGACCUAUACGUCUGCACUUCCCAUACUAACAACGCACAUAAAAGAUCUUCCAAUUCUCUUCUCUCAUCUAGUUAUGUGUGGUUGGUGAGUCAAAUUGCUGGAGCUGAUAAUAUGAACAAAAAGUAUUAGGAAAUGGUUUCAUAUUCAACAACACAUUACUGGUAAAGAAUUACCUUAUAUUCUAGGAACAGCACAGUACAAGUGAGAGGACGAAAUGAAAAAACAAAUAAUGUUUUAAAAUUUGGUGUUCUUUUCAUAAAGUACCAGUUUUGGCGAUACACUGAACGAGUAUUUAAAAUGCCAUUUAAGGUCAUUUGUCCAACAUCCCCAAAUGCCUUUCCAAAGCUUCCUUUUCAGUUUUUCAAUUGUGCAUAUACCGUAUGUGGGAUACUAUUGUAAAAUUAUCUUACAAAAAUGCUGUUCAUUUUAUCCCAUGGUAUAAAAGCAUCUCCCCCAAAAUGAACAAAAUUUAAAAUGUGUUUAUUAUAAUGGUUUAAGUGAGGAAAUACACAUAAAUUCUUGACCCCUGUAAAGGCAAAUUUACAAGGUGGCUAAAUGGUAACUUUUAGUUUUAGAAAACAUUCCAGAUACCUUUAUUUUGACACAGGACAACUAGAAACAUGUAUUCUGGAUAUUUAUACAAGGCCCUUGCCUUACACAGAAUAACAGUGAUGUAGCUUGACUCACUGAGUAGAUCAUAGCCUCUGUGUCCUGGGGCAGCCUCAUAAACUAGAUGGCUUUCUACCAGGGCUGCUCAUUUCUCCCACAAGCAAAGCACUUUGGAAUGAGCCCUGAGACAGACCUUCUUAACUACAGAGACACUAUUUCACUCUGCACACCAUGGCACCCAGUUCUGUAUAUUGAACACGAGCUUGCUGGAAAGAAUUCUGCAUUAGUCGGGUACAUAUGAAGCUUACUGCUGCCAUCUGAUCUUUUGUCUUAUGCUUCUCUUCAAGAAUGCCAAAACAAAAGGCCAACAUCAACACCAUAAUGCUAGAAAUAGAGGUCUUUGCUCUCCAACACUAAUAUGAAGGUGUUCUCACACAUAGCAAUAUCAUCUGGGUAACUGACAUGUUUUUCACUUUUUAACUUGCUUUUGCAUGCAGCCAUUUAUCAAUUGUACCUGCACACUUCCAUCUUACUGCCAGGCCCUACAAGAGACUUUCCAUAUCAGAAUCGAUACACUUUCCAGACACAAUGUCUUAAUAUUUUUUCUUCUAUUUCUUUUCCUUUUCUCUUUUCUUCUCUUCUUUUUCUUCCUUCCUUCCUUCCUUCCUUCCUUCCUUCCUUCCUUCCUUCCUUCCUUCCUUUUUUUUUAAAGAGUAGACAAGUGUCUGUGACUUGGCAUAUUCAACAUUCACAGUUGGGACUAUUCCUGAGAUAACUCUAAUAUGUGGUAAUAGGUCAUUUUGUUGAGGUACAAAUCUGAAUCAUUCUAAUCUAACAUUACAAGGCUGAUGGUCAAAGCCAGUCAUUUAUCCAGUAACAAAACUGGUCAAGAGCCCAACUGCAAUGUCUCAGUAACUCAGUGAGUUACCUUUCUCACUGCCUCUCAAGAUGACAGUUUCUCUUUCUUUUUCAAGUCAUCAAGUGAGAUAUAAAAUACUGAAAACUGAAAUGGUGGCAAACUAGGGAUAUGAUGUUACAUACUGUGGAAAGCCUGUGUGACUCUCUAUGGAUCCAUGAUUCAGGACAAACUUACCUCUGUUGGCAAAUGUCGGGAUUCUGGGAAGUCUCGGGACAUAUUCCGUGUAAACUUCGACAAGUUGCCUGUUCUUAUUUUCAUCUUCAACUCUUGUUCAAAUUAUCCCCUAUGUGCAAAAUACUCCCUAUCUGCUUAUUUCUUUUGUUUUACUUUUCUCUUUACUGUUCUAUUUUUAGGUAUGAGUAAGACAUGAAUACAGUCUUUAAAAUAUUUAAAUAAUACCUCGGUACACAAAUAGUGUUAAAGUUCCCAUCAUCACUUCCUUACUCCUACUUUGCUCUCUGGAAGUAACCACUUACCCAUAUGGUGUGUGUCCUUCCAGCACCCUUACUACUCAGUUACAUAAAAGAUUUAUGUACAUAGAUCUUUUCACUUAUUUUUAUUUUUUACAUAUAUUGGAUUAAAGUAGAAUAAGUUCAAUGAGAGCAGGGACUUUGUUGGCUCUUUGAAAUAUCCAGAAGUUCGAGAUGUACUUGGUACAUAGUAAGUCCUUACCUAUUUGUUGGGUGAAUAUAACUUGCUUUUCAACUUAAUAUGUCUAGGUGACUAUCCCAUGUUAGUACCUGAAUUUGAAGCUACCUCCUUUUUUUAAAUACAUAUGCACAGUAUUCUAUAAUGUGGGUAUAAGAUAAAUUAUUUCACCACUCAAAAUUCUACUUUCUGUUUACAAGGUGAAGUAACUAUUUUAUAGGAAUCUUUCUCUAUGCACAAUGACUUUUAUUGGAUCUGAAAGACAGUCAUUUUGCCCCCUUCACAUUGUAUCUUUUGGGAUUAUUAGAUCCUUGAAAGUGUCUGCCUUAGAUUAUGUGUUUCUGAAGGACAGAGAUUGGGAUAUUCACUUCUUUGAUAGAAAAGCUACAACAGUGUUUGGAACAAAUGUGGACUUUAGGCAAUAAAGCAUAUUGGCAUAUACCUACAUAGUUGGUGACUAAUGUCUGGAGGAAGAAUUGUACCUAAAAUAUAUUUGGUGGGGAAGAUUACAAACUGUGAUUUAUUAUUAUAAUUUUUAAUCACAUGGAUCUUAGAAAGAGAUUGACUAUGGUCAUUGAACAUAUCUUCAGACCUAGAAAAAAGUGGGCAGAUAAUUGGAAUUGUCUGUAUAAAACACUAUUUUCUUUAAAUAUUAAUUAGCACUCUCCACAUCACGCUUUCUCACUUAGAAACGUUGACAAGAAGAUAUGAAGUUUCUCAGAUGAUAAAAGUUGGCCUUGUAUUUAUAAACUGCUUGCUGGACAUUUAAGACACCGCAAAUAAUGCUGAACCAUAUCUGUUAAAAUUUGUAAAAAUCAGCAUUUUGUCUCAGAUUGCAUUGAAAUUAAAUUAAGAAAAGUAGGAUGAUGAAACCUGGAGAAAAGUCUGAACCUUUCUUACAACGACAUAACAAUUGUUAAGCUAAGCAACGAUUUUUUAUUCUUGGAUGAGCUUAAAUAAUGAUAUAUCCACACCAAAACCAAUAUUUUUAUCCCUAGGUAAGUGAUUGUUUCUGUCUAAUAAUCUUAAAAUAUUGCCUUGUUUGUAAUUGUUUUCUUGACAUAAAAAUGAUUGAGAACAAGCCAAUAAAAUUUGUUGCGGAAAAAGAAAAACAUUAAAUUAGGCCCCGACUUUCAGUAAAAUAGAACCAUAUGGUACAUUUAAUUAUAAGUUGAGGAGAUAUUUGAAGUUUUAAUUUAAAUGUUUUACUUACAACAUUAGCUCGACUCUUCUGGCCAGAUAAUGAACAUCCAGCCAUAGCACCUCACACAGAAAAACAACACCUCAAAAGAUAAAAUCAAAAACUGACAACUCAUGCACUUUUUCUGCACAUCAAAAAGACGUCAAACUCAGGGCGCCUGAUACACUACAUAGUCCACUAGAAUGGUAAAUGAAGACCCUGCAAAGAUCACAGUGGUUUAUAUAUGGAAAGCAUAAUGGGCACCCAGGUAGCUCAGUCAGUUAAGCAUUUGGCUGUUGAUUUCAGCCCAGGUCAGGAUCUCACAGUUGGUGGCUUCGAGCCUGUGUGGGGCUCUGUGCUGACACCUCAGAGCCUGGAGCCUGCUUCAGAUUCUGUCUCCCUUUCUCUCUGCCCCUCUCCCACUUAUGUGCAUGCGCUCUCUCUCUCUUUCUCUCUCCCUCCUCAAAAAUAAAUAAACAUUUAAAAAAUUUUAAAAGUACGUCAGACUGAAAAAGUUCAGUUAAUGGGGUCAACUCAUAAUGAAUUCUAUUUCUCUUUUUCUCUCACAAGGUACAUUGAUUAUGUAGUUUAUGUUGUUUCUUUGCUUUGUCAGUCACAUGGAUCUAUCAUGGAAUCAGAGCCUUGGGCACAAAUGCCUGUUCUGCCAAUUAAUUUGUUCAUUUAUUUAUCAAUUCCUUAAUCACGCAACAAAUACUGAACGCUUAUCGUGUGCCAAGCUAGGCACUCAGGACAAAAUGGUGAGCAAAAGUUGGCAAGAUGCCUAUAUUCUUGGAGAUUUGAGUUCAACUACUAGGAAUUGAUUAGCAUUUGUCAAAUUAUUUAGCAUCUCUAAGCCUCAGUUUCAUCUGUAAAAUGCAAAAAUGAUCCCUACUUCGAAGAACUGUUGCAAGGUUUAAACAGGAUAAUGAAACAUGUAAAGAAAGAGCACAGUGCCUUUCACAAAAGAGAUACUGAAAAUGCCAGCUACCUUCCCUUACCCAUCCUCACCCCGCUCCUUGAACAAACACGGAUGUUUAAUCACAGUAAGUGAGCAUCCUCAGAAAGCACCGCUAUAUUGCACAGCUUCAGGGUGGCACGUACUGCCGCAGACCUUAUCCUCUUGCCAGGACAAUGAAGAUUGAUGAGUAGAGGCGGGGGGAGGCCUGAACGUGGGGCUCCAUCAGGCACUUGAUGGAUCCUGUGAUCCCUGCACCUCUCAUUUUGCUUGGUUUGAGGCAAGAGGAACAGGGCCAGGAACAGCUGAGCAAACAAAGUAAUCCAGAUCAUACUUGUGGUAACGGUGACAAACUCUACAAAAUAACAUCAAUCAUUUCAGGCAAUGACUGUCUUCUCAGAUUGUGUUCACAUGGACUAGAGGCGGGAAAAAAUAAGUGGCUGUUCAAUACUCUAGAGUAAAAGCUCUUUUCAACAGGGAUGGCUUUGUUGUUUUCCUAUUACUCACUGUAUUUUAUCCAGAAUACUCACUCUUCUUGUUCCACCUUCACUUUCAGCAUCAUAAAGCUGACAGCGCAGGCUGUGAAACCAAUUCAUCGUGUGGCCUGCCCAAUGAAUUACAUUUAUUCCCCAAUUCUGAAAGGUGUUCUGCACAAACACAAGUGGAACCAGCUCUUCCCUCAUUAGAUUAUCGAAUGGUGAAAACCUUGGGUUUCAGAUGAAGAAAUUCCACUUGAGCAACUUGAGGGAGCAUCUCGCCUCCAAAGAAUCCAGUCAAGGACGUUGCGCCCCAGUUGACAUUAAGCAUUAUUAUAUUC